Molecule: long non-coding RNA, 650 nt
Organism: Vombatus ursinus (common wombat)
Lineage: Eukaryota; Metazoa; Chordata; Mammalia; Diprotodontia; Vombatidae
Exons: 3
Source: RefSeq, a predicted model, not a curated record
CAGAGUCUCACCUGGUUAUGAAGAAAAUUGAAACCUAUUUGUCACAGUUUGGAUGGUAAUAGGAUAGAUGUUGGGGAGUCAGAAUGUAAGGGGUUUACUCUCAGGUGAAGCAUAAUAGAAGUGGGGAGCAGAGAAGUAGGAGGGACAAAUAAAGCAUUUUCAUGUGCCGAGCACUUCUAAGCCUUGGGGCUACAAAUACAGUAAAAUACAGUAAAAAAAAUACAGUCUUUACUUUUAAGAAACAUAUUCCAACAGAAAGGGGAGCUGGAAAGGCAGUGUGUACCUGUGUGGGGGGAAAGUUUGCUGGUGAGGAGGUGGAGCAAUCCAAGGAGUGCAUUGAGUUCAGAGUUAAGUGAGAAUGGCUAGGACCCCUCAUGACAUGGUAAUCCAGGUCAGGGACUCGCCAAUCAGGAGAGCAAGCUUCCGACAGCACAGGCAUCUCCAGGAAAUGCAUUUCAAAACAACAACAACAAGAAGAAAGUAAAAAGGUCUUCCUGAUUCCAAGCCCAGCAUUUUAUCCACUACACUGCCACCUGAAGGAACCUGGAAGAUCUGUAGCAUAUGCCACUGAGGAGGCUGAGAAACCUGCUGAGAAACAUAUCUAGUGUAUGACUAUAAAUAAUUGAAGUUGAACAGGUGCCUGGGAAACA